UACGUAGGUGGCAAGCGUUGUCCGGAUUUACUGGGCGUAAAGAGCGCGCAGGCGGUCGUUCAAGUCGCGUGUGAAAGCCCCCGGCUCAACUGGGGAGGGUCACGCGAUACUGAUCGACUCGAAGGCAGGAGAGGGUAGUGGAAUUCCCGGUGUAGUGGUGAAAUGCGUAGAUAUCGUGAGGAACACCAGUGGCGAAGGCGACUACCUGGCCUGUUUCUUGACGCUGAGGCGCGAAAGCUAGGGGAGCAAACGGG
RNAcentral lists this ribosomal RNA (254 nucleotides) under uncultured bacterium. Its description in RNAcentral is "partial 16S ribosomal RNA". It matches the Rfam family "Bacterial small subunit ribosomal RNA", at positions 524 to 776 of the family's 1533-position model. The record is from RNAcentral.